This 210-nucleotide ribosomal RNA is filed under the name Oxyrrhis marina. Its description in RNAcentral is "partial Bacterial large subunit ribosomal RNA". It matches the Rfam family "Bacterial large subunit ribosomal RNA", at positions 1730 to 1933 of the family's 2925-position model. Lineage: Eukaryota; Dinophyceae; Oxyrrhinales; Oxyrrhinaceae. The record is from RNAcentral.
GUAACUUCGGGAGAAGGUGUGCCCUCAUUAUGUGAACUGCGAACGCAGGGAGCGGACGGGGGUUGCAGAGAAUCGGGGGUAGCGACUGUUUACCAAAAACACAGCACUCUGCGAAGUCGCAAGACGACGUAUAGGGUCUGACGCCUGCCCGGUGCCUGAAGGUUAAAAGGAGGGGUGAGAGCUCUGAAUUGAAGCCCAGGUAAACGGCGA